This is a non-coding RNA of Equus caballus (horse), 9121 nucleotides long. The record is from RefSeq and is a predicted model, not a curated record. NCBI's taxonomy places the organism in Eukaryota, Metazoa, Chordata, Mammalia, Perissodactyla, Equidae.
GAAGAGGAGCAGGCAGAACUUUAACCACUUGGCCAUGGGACUGGCCCCAUCUAACAGCUUCGGUUUAACAUACUCACCUGUUUAAAAACCCUCUCUCCAAAUAGUCACAGUCUGAGGUACUGAAGGUUGGGACUUCAACAUAUGACUUGGGGGGGUAAAAAUCAGCCCCUACCAGAGAGGAACGGAGCAGGGCUCUGCCGCCUGAAGUGGCCAGGAGCGGAGUGCAGGGCGUUUGAGAAGAGAGGAUAUAGACCAUCUAUCUGACCACAAGUCGAAGGAUUCCUAGGGACUGCUGCUUCAGGCCUCAUGGAUACAGUACCCUGGGUCCGCGUCUGGGAGCCGGAUUGUCUCUGAUUGUAGCCUCACAUUGAUGAGCCUUGACUCGCUCAGGCUUCACGUUGAUUCUGGUUCUGGCACAGCAGCACUGGACGUGCUUGCGGCCUCAGAAUUGCCUGCUCUCAUUGUCCCAGGCUGAGCAAAGUCCCUCCAAGCCCGGGACUUGCCCUACACUCCCUCUAACUGAUCAGGAUUGCUACCUGGGCAGGGACCGUAUGUAGGGUGUCGCAUUGAGUCUGGCGCCAGCUCUGUGGGAUUCUCCCUGCCUAAGGGAAGCUGAAGACCCCAGUGGGAGGAAAGAAGAGAGAUGGAGUGAGAGGGAGAGAGAGACAGGGAGAGACAGAGAGAGCGAGGAGACUCACUGUCGCCCACUGAGAACCAGCCUUGCCCAGCAGCAUUCCGACGUGGGUGCCCGUGCCAGGUCUCUUGUGCACGCUUCUCCUCGGCAACUUGGAAGAGCAAAUUGAGCACACGCUCUAAAAGUGAAGCAGGCUGCUGACAAUGAGGUGGAUGUUCAAGGGGAGCCAGAGAGCCGUGCGUGGGGCUUGCUGUCCUAGGUGAACAAAAUCAAACAUUGACGAGAAGGAAGCUGUGCACACACAGCCGCUUCUCCCUCCCACCCCCUUUCUCUCGCUCCUCGGGGUCUCUGUUUGAUUUGGGACCCAGAAUAGGAUAAUGGAAACUAAAAGCAUUUUUUUCUGCCAAUGUAAAGGGUAAUAUAAUCACCGGCAGCUGAGAGACAAUGACAUUUUUAUAGACCUUCUGGCAACACUGGAGUGUGAAGGAGACUGACAGGAUGAACUUCUUUCAUAAUUAAAAUUAAAAAGGAAACCAAUACCCGCUAGUCUUGUAAGAAGUGCCAUAAGAAGAUUUAUUCACAGCAAAGGCUUCCAAAAGGUGAAAAUGCUACUCUGAGUGGUGGGAAAGGGCUGGAAGAGGAGACCUAAGUCCUUGCUCUCAUGAAUUCUGGGCAGUGUUCUGCAGCAACGGAAACUGGGCCUGCGAAUGGUAAGGUGCGUACUAGGUGGAAGCAGAUGAAACCAUCUCUCUCAGCCUAAUGGGAACUAGACCAUUGUUGGAGGAAUGUGGAUCAAGGGUCAGAUGAGUGAAUGAUACAGAAGGGCCAAGGGGCCAGCGCCCCCACGUGAUCAGACACUUACAAUGGCAGACACACAGAAUGGUGGGGGAAGGGAUGCAAUGGCCACAUUCCCUUGGUCAUAUCUGCCUCUGCCCACUCCCUGCUCGCUGGCUGCCCCACCCCGCCCCUGCGGGAAGAGAGUGAUAAUUUGAUUGGUCAGAAUCUGAGGCAACCAUUGAGACAUAUUCUCUAGUGGGCAGAGUUAAACUACAUUAAAAAGCUGUGCCCAUGAGUGUUAUUUUCUGGCACCCUCCAUGUAUUUCCUCUGUGUAGUGAUGCUUCCUCUCCCGGGGGCUGAGUCCACCGGGCUGUGUGGGUAAGGGGAUUCAGAGGGAUUCAGGGUGGUUGGAAGGUAGGCAGAAUUUCACCCCGCAUUCCUGGAACAAGCUUCUGGACAUGCUGUCGCACACCUCUCCUACUUCCCUUCCUCCUGCCAGACUCAGCAGGAGAGACUGGAAUCUCCACUUAGGUCUCGAGGUUUCCUAAGCAAAUGACCGAACUGGCUUUUACCAGAUGGCCUUACAUAAAGAGUUACUGGGCUGGAUGAAUUAUUAAUAUUAUUCCUGAUAUUAUUUUCAUUUAGUUACUCUUUCUUAAGAACAGCCUUCCUGAGAAGUGCAUGGUGAAGAAGGCAGGCAGAAUUUGGGGAUUCUUGGUCCCUUGGUGUAAUACUGUCUAAUAUAAAAUGUCACUAGAACCCUCAAACAGGAUUGGGAAUUUGGUAGCUUGUGGGAAGGAAUGAGACUUCUGCUUAAAUAUGUUAAUAUAACUCUGAUAAUAGCGCUAAUUCAGAUAUUUCCAGGAGUGCUGGAAAAAAAAUCCUAAUUUAUAUUCUACGUACUUCAGAAUUUGAUGUAACUACUUUGGAAGUUGAUGUAACAUUGGGCCGACAUAGGUAUUACAUUAUUUUAGUAUGAAUAUUUUCAAAACCAGAUUGUUCCCUUUUAUGUGCCCUACGAAAAUAUGGGAACUGAAACAAAAUGAGUCCAAGGAUAUUUGUCGGUUGAUUGAUGAAUACCUCACCUACUUCUAAGACAUUUGAAAUAGUUCUUUGCCACCUUGAUCCAGGGGAUGCUGAUUCAGCUUGGCAGAAUCUCAAAAUGUGUUCCCAGAACAAAUACUCAAAUAUGUUCUACAUCUGCAAGAGUCAAAAGUAACUCUUCAAAUCAAGUCUUAAACAUCUGGCCUGUUUUUCAGUAGCAAGCCUGUCCGUGCUUCCAUUUCCCUUUGAAUCAUUAACGAACGUAAGAGUAUUGCGAUAGCAUGAAAAUGCUAACAACAAAGGUCUUACAGUUUUUUCUGCUUUGUUUCUCACUUUUUCAAUGGAAAUACUUAGACUGUCAAAAAUAAUUAAUGUUAGUCAUCUGAUACAGACAGUCUGACGAAUGCCAUUUUCUGACUUAGAUGCAGUAAUUUCUGAAGCGUUGGGACCAGAAAGGAAUUCUCAUCAAUUCCUCUCUCUUGACAACAUCUCGGCUUCCUGCUGGCUUAGUUAAGAUUAUUCCUCUCUCUUCAUACAAAAUCUGACUCAAAGGCUGUCUAUCCUGACUAACUAUUUCACAUUUUCAUCUUUCUUCUACCUUAACUUUCUCGUAAUAUUUACGUUGUGUAUUUGUGUUAUAUCAAUGAAAAAUCAUUAAACAUUCUGAGAAGGGAAGAUGUAUGAUAAGAUUAUACUAUGGAAACAUUUUCUAGAAAGAUUAUAGAAAUUUCAUAGAAAGAUUACUCUUUCCACAGAAUAGAGGAUGUUUAAGGGGGAAGAGACUUGCCAGUGAACUGGGGCGUUGGCAGUGGGUGUAAGAAGGAGGAAAUGGAAGAGAGAUGGCUUAGAAACAGAAUGAGCAUGGAACCAGAAUUUGACAAUUGACCAUGAUUUAGUCUAAGACGAUGACAAUGUUUUGAGCCUGUGCCACUGGGAAGAUGUGGUGCUAUUAAUUAGGACAGGCUGUAAAAGAAGACGAGCAGAGCUGUAGGAAACUUCUGUGUAGAGGGAAGAGACACCCAGUGAGUUCUAUUUUGAGAUGUCUAUAGAGAGAGGACAUCUACAUAAGAUGUCCUAUAGGUAAUUGGAAAUGUCAGUGUAGAGUUUGGGAAAGGAGUGGAAACUGGAGACCUAAGUGUGGCAAAUGCCUGUGUGUGUGUGUGUGUGUGUGUGUGUGUGUGUGUGUGUAUGUGGCGGGCGGUGGGGUGCGGUGAGUAGACAAAUCCAUGGGAGUCUAUGAGACUUUAUGAAAAGUGUCUUAAGUGAAAAGAAAAGACCUUGGGACUUCUCACCUUUAGAGGGUUGUGGGUAAGGAAGGAUAUUGGGAAGAAGGCCUCAGGAAAGUAGGAGGAGAAUGUAGAGCCUUAUCUGAGAAACAGAGCAUUAUAUUGAAUUUAUCCAUUCAAUUCAAUUCCACAAACAUUUAUUGAAAUACUAGAAAGACAUACUGCUGGGCUCUAGCAACGUAAAAGUGGUCCUUGCUUUUAAGGAACUUCAAAAGAUAGAUGGAGAGAUGGACAUUUAUCAGCUUGAACGAUACGAAAUGGCAACAUUCCACAUUUUUGACCCACAAAAACUGCAAUUUCAUAUGGAUCAACCUAAUGUAAUUUUAUACAAAUUAAAUUAUCUUCACAGAAUUUUUAACAAUGUCAUGUACACACAGAGAAAACCUCUGGAUUGAAAGACACAUCCCAGAAGACCUGACAUGUACAUGUUCUCCUGAAUGACUUUUUAAAAAAUUGCUUAGACCUGAGAAUCUUGGAAAUGUCAUCUUUAACCUAAGGCUGACUUGCCUUUUUGUUGCAAGAUGGCUGCCAAUACUUAUGUCAGAGAUAAGAGGAAGUUUAAGUUUUUCUUUUAAUGAUCCAACAAACAUCCUGAGAUUGUCCUGUCAUCCUGAUUAGACCAAGUGGGUUCCAUGCUCACCCUAAGUCACAGGGAAUUCCAUGAGUUGACAAACUAAUGUGGGAAAUAUUGCCCAUCCAUGAACGGGAGGAGGAGUCAAACUUGCACAAACACACGGCUGCCAUCCAAUGGGGACAUGGAUGAGAUGGAGAUUGAGAGGGCAACCAGCCAUGUCACAUCAGAGUUUAAGCAGCAGGGUGACAAUGCAGGUAGAAAGAUUGCUUUGCAGCAUUUUAGAGGUAAAUGUCAGAGGCCUGCAACGUUGGAGACAGACCAGUCAGGAGGAAACUGAAGGAAUCCUGGCCAAAAAGAUGAGGGCAUAGAUGAAAGUGGGAGCAAGGUGAGUCAAGAGGAGAGGGGGCUGAUGCAACCUAUGGUAAGAUGGAGCGAAUAGAACUUAGGGACCACCUUGAUGAAGAGGGCGAGGGAGAUGAGGUUGGGCUAAGAACGACUCUCACAUUUCUUGCCUGAUCGAUGGUACAAAUGAUGGAGCUGUCACCAGGAGAGGAAGUGCAGGGGGAAGACAUUUAAGUUUUGGCGGAAAGAUGACUAUGUCUGUGUUUUUUUUUUCUUUUGACUUUUCUUGUUCCUUUGAUUGAGAUGACUUUGGAACAUGAAAAUGGAUACUGUCACUGGAAGAGAGAUGAAUGGUUUUGGACCUAGAAAGCCUGGAGAUGCUGACUUGGGGUUGACAGCGCAAGGUUGAAUAACUAAAGAUGAGCUGCAUGCUGGAAAAAUAGAAACAAAUGAAGAGAAUAAUCAACUCUUAAGCCAAAAAGCCAUUGGUAGCAACUCAGUACAUAUGUGCGUGUUGAGUUUCCCCACAGUUGAGAGGAUAACCAAAGUCAAGGCCUGAGAAGAGGAGAGAGGAGAGGAAAGCAGAGACUAAGGGGGCAGGAGAAGGUGACAUUGACAAUCUUAAACUCACAAGUGCAGUUGGGUUGCUCUCAUUGCUUCCAUUGAGGAUCACAAGGAAAAGAGGGGAAAGAGAAUAAAAGACUUGCUUGCAAAGAUUUUAGCCGUAGCACAGCUUUUGGAAAAUCUCACCUCUCUCCUGUUUUUCUUCACCUGGAGAUGAUUGUUUUCUCUACAGACAUCUAUCUCUGUGUCUGCGUCUCUCUCAUAGACGUAAACAGAUCUUGGAUGCCUCUGCACUGUAUUGCAAGCCAGGGAGAUGGACUGCACAUGAGCCCGAGCUCCUACAAACCUGGAUCCCUCGGGGUCCCUCUGCUCCUACAGGCCCCUGUGAUUGUCUGCUGGAUUUCCUUCACACCUGCCAUCAGCUCUUCUACCUGGCCCCAUGUCUGAAACUCACCAGGGACAGAAUGCUGUUUCCGAAGUUCUCCCUUACUUUGUUGCAUUAAUCAGGAUUCUGUCCGCCUGAUAGGAAAUCAACUCGAUUUAGUCUAAGCCAAGAGGAGUUGAUUGGCCCUUGUAUCUGAAGAGCCCACAGGUUAGUUUGGUUAGGCGAGGAUUUGAGGUUCAAAUAAACAAUCUCAUCAUGUCCCCUCCCUGCCUUCCUCCCCAUUUCCUAGGUCUGCUUUCAUCUGUGUUGGCUUCACUAUUACAGACCAUCUCCAUGUGAUGGGACUUCCCCAGGCCUUUAGGGUUCUCAUAGCUCAUGCUCUUGGAAGGAUCGAAGACCUUUCAGACUUCCAGAAUCCAUAUCUGCCCCUGCGAAAGGAUUCGGAUUGCCCACAGCUGGGCCACAUGCCUAUCCUGGAAGAGUGUCUCUAUCCAGGGGAGUGGGACAUCCUUGCGACCCUCAGCCAUAUAUGGAUCAUAGGGGCAGGGGACACUGGCUUCUUGAUUGAGAGUUCUACUAGAAUUACAUGGUGUGGAGCAGAGCAGUUCCCAAAAGGAAGUGCUAUUGGCCAAACAAAGCAGUAACCAUUGGCUACGACAAUUACUGUACCUGAAAUAAUGGCACAAAUUAACUCAGUAACUCUGAGGAAACGAAGGUAAACAAAAAUGACAAAUAAAAGGUAGUAUACAAUAAAAAUAUUUUAUGCUAGUCCUUGCUGUCCUUGACCUUCUAGACUUCUAAAAUGAAGUUCUAACAGAAAAGGGAGAAUUUGUUUUGCUUGUCAUCGUAUUCUUAGUCCCCAGCACAUAGUUUCUUUAUACAAGAGUAUCAAGUGAAGUGAAAUUUAAAAGUAAGUCAGUGACUACUGAGUCACAGGGGCAAAUAGCAAGAAAAGGUAGAAUGAUUUUCCUCAUUGCAGGAAGAAGCACUUCAGUGAGCGCUCUCAAUUAUGGAAUUGUAAGGGUGUGGGCGCCUGUCCGGGAGGAGGAUAGAUGCAAUCAGUCGUGUGCUGGUAAAUGUUUAACAGCUGGAUCUCCAAGGAAACAACAACAAUCCUGAUUUGUAGCAAUUGCUAAUUCCUAUUGUGUAAAUAUUCCCAUCAUGGUUGAUUUCAAGUUACCAACGUGAGUCCCUGAGGGUAGAGCCGAGAAGAGAUGCACGGAUUGGUUCUCAGGAGCCUGUGUGAGCCGGCUCCAGCCCAGCACUGAUGUAACCAAACCUUCCUCGUAUUGAUGAAGGCUGCUUCUCCCCGAGACUCUUUAGCCUUUAAUAUGAAUCCUUGGAAGGGGUUCACCCAUUGCAUGUGGAACCUGGUGUUUUCCAUGGGCAAGAGAUCAAAAUCUAAACCCCAUAGCCCAGUAUUUGAAAUUAUUUAAGCAUAAUCAGGUGGCCCAAAGUGGCGUUGACCGAGAUUCUUGAUCGGAUAAGGACUGCAAGGAUUCCAAAGAGAAACCCCCCAUGAGGAGAGCAGUUGCCUUGGUGACCUGAGCGCAACACUGAUCCCAGGGGUCACUGAGGAUUCCUGUGUAGCUGAUGGCUGAGCCUACAAGCUGCUCUGUACUCAUCCACCCGGGCAAAGGUGUUGUGUUUCAGGGGAAACAAUGGUUAAGAAUUUGAGCGUAACUAAAAAUAUUCGUGAAGUCGUGAAGGACACUGUGUGCACCACUUGGGCUCUGGCACAUUUCAAGAGAGUAAAGACAUCACCAUAGCAGUGGGCAAACAUUCUUUUGUUGGCGAGGUACUGGUCUUAUCAGGAAUGCAUACCAGGAGUUUGCAAUUAAGACUUAAGUGCUCAUGGAGGGCAUCCGUCCGGAUAGGCUAAGUUAUGCUGUGGUAAGAAGUGGUACUGAAGUUUCAGUGGCUUAACACAACAUGGGGUUCUUUCUCACUCUCUGUGUAUAUCCAUCACGAGGUCUCAGGCUGACGGUGAUUGCUUCCUGGUACCUGCUUCCAUCAUUGCAGAGGCAGAAAAGGAUGUGCAGAUUCACACACUGGAUCUUAAAUGAGACAGCACUUCUCUCAUUUCAUUGGCCAAAGCAAGACCUCUAGCUGCACCUAACCCCACUGUGUGGGCAGGGUAGUGCAGUCCUAGUGUGUGAAGUUGGAGCUGGAAAACAGCACCAACAACCACAGAAGGUGAUUGAAAAUUCUAAUUACUUUUUCUCCCUUAGCCUUUGGAAGAAGGAACCAGGCUUGUUUGAUGUUUGAACUGAAUAAGCCCGCAGAAGCUUGAACAAUUCAGUUGCAGGAAGACCUAAAGGGGAUACUAACCCUUCUGGUAUAGGGGAACCUCUAGCAAUGAAGUGAGCUAUUAUCUGGAAAGUGCAAAAUAUAAAGAGAGGAGGCAGUUUUGGUAUGGCAAAGGGCAAAAUAAAUCAAAUCAGGUGCAUGUUGAAUGAACAAAUGAAUGAGUGAAAGUUCAUUCAAAUGGAAUCAUACCUCUCCCCUGCAAACAUCUUUCAUGACUUUUCUUGGAUAUUUUCCCGUGGAGAUCCUCUUCCUUUCAUUCAAUUACGUUAUUAUCGUAGGUGAGAAUAAUCAUUUACCCUCCUCCCUUGAUAAGAAGACACCAUCAUCAGCUUUAUCCCUCUCCCAAUAGGUUUUAUGGAUGAAACGGAAAGAUUUAUUUUUUUAAUAAAUGAGGCCAAAUCCUGAAUGGGAGCCAUUCAAGCAUGAGAUGCAAUAAAAUUAGAAAAACUUCUACUUUAUCCCAGAGCACAGAAAUUUACAAAUUGCAGAACUCUUUCGUCCUAGUUUGUUGAAUUAUUCUUUAAAAACUCCAAAUGCAAAGUAUUCUUUUUGCAGCAUGACAAACAAAACAGAGAUAUACAAGGAAAAGCUGAAAAUCUCUGUCCCACCACGUCACCCCCUGAGGUAACCAAUGUGAACAGUUCGGUGUGGCUCCUUCCACACCUUUUUCUGUGCUCAUAAACACAGACACAUCUCCACCAAGCACAGACUCCUAUAGAGGAUGCGUCUUCCUUUUCUCCCCUCCCACUUUCUUUCCUUUCUCCCCUCCCCUUUCUUUCUUCUUCCGUAAAUGAGAUCUCAGUAUACACAUUGCUCAGAAACUUGUUAUUCUAAUUCAGUAUUUUAUGAACAUCUCUCUAGGUUAGUGUUCUUCAAACUGGGGGUUUAACCAUUUAUGUAUCACAAAAUUAAUUUACUGGGUCCUGACCAGGAAUUUUUAAGUAAAGUAACAUAGACUAGAAGUUACUGGAGAACUCUGAAUGCAGUAAGGAUAAGCAUUGUUCUAUGAGAACCGUAUUUCAGAUGGGUAUAUAGAGUUCUCUCAUCUAUAAAAUGGGGGUAAAAAUAGUGCCCAUUGCAGGAGUUGCUGAUAAGAUUAAAUGAGCUAUUACAUUCAGGUGCCUCUUAACCACGAGGAGACAUUCGGAAAAAUGCGUCGUUAGGCGAUUGCAUUGUUGUGCCAACGUCAUAGAAGGUACUUACA